This is a long non-coding RNA of Symphalangus syndactylus (siamang), 4710 nucleotides long. RefSeq lists it as uncharacterized. The record is from RefSeq and is a predicted model, not a curated record. NCBI's taxonomy places the organism in Eukaryota, Metazoa, Chordata, Mammalia, Primates, Hylobatidae.
GUGGGGUGUCCCAGCACACGGUGUGUACGGGCUGUACGUGCAUUGGAAACAAGAGCUGGGUGGGGGAGGAGCAAGCCUGGAGGGGAGCAGGCUGACUCACAGAGCGCCCUUUUGCAGAGAUGGAGCCAAAGUCUCACAGGUUUGUCUGGCCCUGUGCCCUCUCCCCCAUACCAAAGCCAGGAUGGGGGCGGAGUGAGGGGCAGGUGUGUGCACAGGCAGAAGGUUAUCGGGGCCAUGGACUCAGCUUGGAACCCAAGGCACCACCUGGCACUAUGCAGGCUCUCCCUGGCACCACCCAGCUGCUUGCCAGCCAGCCUCAGCUAACCCUGGCCUGCUUCCCAGCUCCAGGCACAGAAGGGGAAAGGCAGGGGAGCUGGGGCCCCCAUGUCCUCUGGCUAAGAGGGAAAGCAGCUCAUGUAUACAUCCCUGACUCCACCAGGAAGCAGGUAAAGAGGUAGGGCGGGCUGCUAGGGGAGCCCGAGGGUGAGUUAAGUAAUGGGUAUGUGGGAGACAAACUUGAGCUUGAAUGAAAAGCAAGUGUAUGUGUCAGAGGGACUCUGAUAGGUUUAACCUAUAUUUAUUUUUCAUCACAUUACUCUCCUGCUCAAAAGCCUUCAUUGGCUCCCCACUGCGUGCCACGAUACGCACAUUGUGUACUUCUGACUUCCAAGUCUCUUCAAAACCUUGCCCAAGAGACCUUUCCAUCUUGUCUCCUACUACUCUCCCUCAUACUCUAGCCAAAUUAAACUAUUAUUUUUUUUCUCCAAACCUUUUUCCACCUUUGUUAAUCUAGUUCUUGCUCCCUGAAAUGCUAUUUACUAUUGCAUUCAACAAAUAUUUAUUUAGUACCACCAUAGGUCCAGCACUGGGCUAUGGACUAGGGACAUGGAAAUGAAUAAGACACGGUCCCUCAUUUUGGGAGGCUGAGGUGGGUGGAUUGCUUGAGUCCAGGAGUUCGAGACCAGCCCGGGCAACAUGGCCAAACCCUGUCUCUACUAGAAAUACAAAAAAUUAGCCAGGUGUAAUGGCAUGUGCCUGUAGUCCCAGCUACUCAGGAGGCUGAAAUGGGAUGAUCGCUUGAGCCGAGGCAGUUGAGGCUGCAGUGAGCUAAGAUUAUACCAUUGCACUCUGGCCUGGGUGACAGAGCAAGACCCUGUCUCAAAAAAAAAAAAACAAAAACAAAAACAAAAAAACACUACCUGCCCUGAGCAGCUCGCAGUCUAGUGAGUGAGGGCAAACCCUGUCAAUAUCAUAAUAUUCAGGGAAGAGAGAUGAAUUCUGCUUUAGAAGAUAAUAUAGAAGUAGGCAAAUUUGAUCAUGUCCUUGAAGAAAUACCAGUUCAAUUGGUAAAAACAAUAGGGAGAAUGAUAUUCUGGGCAAAGGGGAGGCAUAAAAUAUUAUGAGCAGGAGAGUGACAGAAUCCAAUUCUCAUAAUAGGUCAUGGUGAGGGCUUGAGGGCUAGUAUGGAGCACAGAUUGCAGGGGAAGACUGGAUGCAAGGAGAUGGGGUAGAAGAGUGUGAGGACCCCAAGAAUGGGCUUAGGCCUCUCAGUUUUUUUUUCUUUUUCUUUUCUUUUUUUUUUUCUUUCCAGCCCAGGCUGGAGUGCAGUGGCGUGAUCUCGGCCCACUGCAAUCUCCACCACCUCCCAGGUUCAAGCGAUUCUCUUGCCUCAGCCUCUUGAGUAGCUGGGACUACAAGCACCUGCCACCAUGCCCAGCUAAUUUUUGUAUUUUUGGUAGAGAUUGGGUUUUGCCAUAUUGGCCAGGCUUGUCUUGAACUCCUGACCUCAGGUGAUCUGCCUGCCUUGGCCUCCCAAAGUGCUGGGAUUACAGGCUGGUUUUUUUUCUAAUUAAUUAUUUUUAAAAUUUAUUUUAGAGAUGGGAUCUCACUAUGUUUCCCAGGCUGGAGGGCAGUGGCUAUUUAUAGGUGCAACCCUGCUACUGAUCAGCACUGGAGUUUUGAUCUCCAAUUUCCACCUGGGUCAGUUCAACCAUCCUUAGGCAACCAGGUUGAUGCAGAACUUAGUGCAGUCACCUGACUGGUAUACUACACUACAGCCCAGAACUCCUGGGAUCAAGUGAUCCUCCUGCCUCAGCCUCCCAAGUAGCUGGGACUACAGGCACGCGCCAUCACACCUGGCUAGUCUGCCUUUUUAACAAUUUAUUAAGCCUCCUCCAGUCCUCCAGGUGCUGUUCUAGGCCCUACAGAUGCAGCAUUGAAUAGAGAACAGCUCUACUGUUUUGUAGCUCACAUUCUAGUAAGGCUCCAUUGGCUUCAACAAACUAAAAGAGAAUAAGGCCAUUUCAGGUCCAUAUCUAGGGCUAAUAUUCAGUAGGCACACACCAAUAUGGUUGUGUAGGUUAAUUAAAUAUAUUAAGAUGUUUCUAAUCCUGUUGGCAUAUAGCCAUGGCCCCUGGCUCCAGGGUACCCCUGCUACCCUAGCUCUUCCUUAGGGACCCUCCAGACCUCCUGAUCCCUUAUCUAAAGAGGUAUUCCCUGGCAUAACAGAGUCCCCAGGAGCCCACUUGAGUGCCUCAGCCACCUUCAACUCUGAUGGGUCAGUGCUUGUGCACUUGCUGCUGUGUUACAAAUAGUUUUACUGGCCGGGUGCGGUGGCUCACGCCUCUAAUACCAGCACUUUGGGAGGCCGAGGCGUGCAGAUCACCUGAGGUCAGGAGUUCCAAGACCAGCCUGGCCAACAUGGCAAAACCUGUCUCUACUAAAAAUACAAAAAUUCGCUGGGCAUGCUGGCAGGCACCUGUAAUCUCAGCUACUCAGGAGGCUGAGGCAGGAGAAUCACUUGAACCUGGGAGGCAGAGGUUGCAGUGAGCCGAGAUCGUGCCACUGCACUCCAGCCUGGUCAACAGAGUGAAACUCUGUCUCAAAACAAACAAACAAACAAACAAACAAAAAUCCUGGCUAACAGAGUGAAACCCCGUCUCUACUGAAAAUAUAAAAAAAAAAAAAUUAGCCGGGCGUGGCGGCGAGUGCCUGUAGUCCCAGCUACUCGGGAAGCUGAGGCAGGAGAAUGACGUGAACCCGGGAGGCGGAGCUUGUAGUGAGCUGAGAUUGUGCCACUGCACUCCAGCCUGGGCGACAAAGUGAGACUCCGUUUCAAAAAAAAAAAAAGUUUUACUGUCCUCCCUGUCUAAUCUCUUCUAUUCUUUGAGACUCAGAUGAAAGGCCCCCUCCUUCAGGAAACUCCUUAACCAACCCUCUACCACUAGUCUGGAAAAGAUCCCUGGCAUCUUUGAGCCAACCCAGUUCUUUGCCUGCCCUCAAUAAUAACCUUGUCCACCAUCUAACUCAUAUAAGGGUGAUUUAUGACAUUUUAUCUGCUCUAACGGCCUUCAGCUCCAUAAGGGCAGGGUCCAGUACUUGAUUGAGUCAGUCUUUUAUUCAACAGCCAUUAUUGAGCAUUUUCUCUUUGUAGAUUACCUUGCCAGGUGCUUGAGAAAUACCAAAUUGACUAAGAUAUAUUCUCUGCCCUCAGGGAGCUCAUUGUCAAUGACCUAUGCCUGUCAAACCACAACUAUCCCAUAAACAUGACAUAACUUUUGACAUUAUUAUUAUUUUUGAGACAAGGUCUUACUCUGUCACCCAGACUGGAGUACAGUGGCGUCAUAGCUCACUGCAGGCUCGACCUCCCAGGCUCAAGUGAUCCCCCCGCCUCAGCCUCCUGAGUAGCUAGGACCACAGGCACAAGCCACCACCCCUGGCUAAUUUUUUAAAUUUGUUUUGUAGAGACGGGGUUUCGCUAUAUUGCCCAGGUUAGUCUUGAACUCUUGACCUCAAGUGAUCCUCUGACCUCAAGUGAUCCUCCCACCUCAGCCUCCAAAAGGGUUGGGAUUAUAGGCGUGAGCCACCAUGCCUGGCCCAACACCACAUUUUUGUGUCACUCCAAAUCAUCUGUGUUGUCAGAUGACUGUCAUAUUAUACAACAAAAUAUAUAUGGCUGAAUAACAGCUGUCCUCCAAAUGGUCAUCCUCAGAUGUAGUCAGCCUAAGAUUCUAGGGUGCAAUUUCUGGAGCCAAAUUCAGAGCUCUCCAUGGCAGUGUGGUCCAGGGUACACUCUGGAUGGCCGGCUGAUUGUCUCGGUCAGCUCUGUCAUUAGCUUGGAUCUUGCUUGGCCCCUGACACAUGGAAGUACAUGGUAAUAUCUGAAUUGGAUGGGCCUAUACAAGACAGAAUGUGGUAACAACUAAUCUAGCUCUCUGUUACAGCUCACUCAUUUUCCAAAUGCGAUUCCCUAUGGCUCUGUUUCUCUGUCUCUCUCGUCUCUGGUCUGAGUGGAGAAUGUGGACUCUGACCCUGGAUCAUGCUGGGCGUCUGCCAAACCCUCAAACAGGAUAAGGUUCACAGUACCUGACGUGGCCUUCAGCGGGCCGCCAUUGCCUUGGUUUCCAUGGCGGGCUUGUGACCUAGGGAGGUCCAAUCAGUGAAGCUCUCUGUCUGAAGUAUUUGAUGGCUAAGGGAACCAAUUCUGCGGACAACACAUAAAGAAGCACACAGCCAUUGUAACUGUGGGCAGCCAUCUUGACCCACAAUGGAAGCCAGCCUUAAGAUGAAGGUAAAACCAUGGAAGGCACGGUGGAGUGGUGGAAAGAGGUCCUUGGUAACAUGAUUGAGCUGCUGGAUUAGGCCAACACUAGGGCCCACCUGCUUCUGGACUUUUCAGUUGCAUGAGUCAAUAAAUUAUCUUAAUGUUUA